RNAcentral lists this transfer RNA (22 nucleotides) under Acanthoxyla geisovii (prickly stick-insect). RNAcentral's name for it is "partial tRNA-Leu". The record is from RNAcentral. RNAcentral also lists the same sequence under 1 other name. Lineage: Eukaryota; Metazoa; Arthropoda; Insecta; Phasmatodea; Phasmatidae.
AUAACCCUUUUAUUAGAAAUAA